RNAcentral lists this non-coding RNA (32 nucleotides) under Geobacter sulfurreducens KN400. The record is from RNAcentral. Lineage: Bacteria; Pseudomonadati; Thermodesulfobacteriota; Desulfuromonadia; Geobacterales; Geobacteraceae.
UCAAUGAACUGGCCCGCUCCUGAGAGGGUUAU